Molecule: ribosomal RNA, 253 nt
Filed under: uncultured bacterium
Lineage: Bacteria
Description: partial 16S ribosomal RNA
Rfam family: Bacterial small subunit ribosomal RNA
Source: RNAcentral
GACGGACCGAGCGAACGUUAUUCGGAAUCACUGGGCUUAAAGGGCGCGUAGGCGGGCGGCCAAGUCAGGGGUGAAAGCCCCCAGCUCAACUGGGGAAGUGCCUCUGAUACUGGUCAUCUCGAGGGAGAUAGGGGCGUGCGGAACUUCCGGUGGAGCGGUGAAAUGCGUAGAUAUCGGAAGGAACACCGGUGGCGAAAGCGGCGCGCUGGAUCUCUUCUGACGCUGAGGCGCGAAAGCCAGGGGAGCGAACGGG